UACGUAGGGUGCAAGCGUUAAUCGGAAUUACUGGGCGUAAAGCGUGCGCAGGCGGUUUUGUAAGACAGAGGUGAAAUCCCCGGGCUCAACCUGGGAACUGCCUUUGUGACUGCAAGGCUGGAGUACGGCAGAGGGGGAUGGAAUUCCGCGUGUAGCAGUGAAAUGCGUAGAUAUGCGGAGGAACACCGAUGGCGAAGGCAAUCCCCUGGGCCUGUACUGACGCUCAUGCACGAAAGCGUGGGGAGCAAACAGGAUUAGAAACCCUAGUAGUCC
RNAcentral lists this ribosomal RNA (273 nucleotides) under uncultured prokaryote. Its description in RNAcentral is "partial 16S ribosomal RNA". It matches the Rfam family "Bacterial small subunit ribosomal RNA", at positions 524 to 796 of the family's 1533-position model. The record is from RNAcentral.